Small nuclear RNA from Spermophilus dauricus (Daurian ground squirrel), 106 nucleotides. NCBI's taxonomy places the organism in Eukaryota, Metazoa, Chordata, Mammalia, Rodentia, Sciuridae. The record is from Ensembl.
GUUCUCACUUUGGUAGCACAUAUACUAAAAUUGGGAUUUACAGAAAAGAUUAGCAUGGCCCCUGAGAGAGGAUAACAUGCAAAUUCAUGCAGCAUUCAAUAUUUUC